UACGAAGGGGGCUAGCGUUGCUCGGAAUCACUGGGCGUAAAGGGCGCGUAGGCGGCGCGGGUAGUCAACGGUGAAAGCUUGGGCUCAACCCCGAGUCGGCCGUCGAUACUCCCGCGCUCGAGCACUGUAGAGGCAGGUGGAAUUCCGGGUGUAGCGGUGGAAUGCGUAGAGAUCCGGAAGAACACCGGUGGCGAAGGCGGCCUGCUGGGCAGUAGCUGACGCUGAGGCGCGAAAGCGUGGGGAGCAAACAGGAUUGAGAAACCCUGGG
This 268-nucleotide ribosomal RNA is filed under the name uncultured bacterium. Its description in RNAcentral is "partial 16S ribosomal RNA". It matches the Rfam family "Bacterial small subunit ribosomal RNA", at positions 524 to 791 of the family's 1533-position model. The record is from RNAcentral.